Molecule: ribosomal RNA, 293 nt
Filed under: uncultured bacterium
Lineage: Bacteria
Description: partial 16S ribosomal RNA
Rfam family: Bacterial small subunit ribosomal RNA
Source: RNAcentral
GGAUUAGAUACCCUGGUAGUCCACGCCGUAAACGAUGAGUGCUAGAUGUUAGGUUGUUUAACUUAGUGUCGUAGCUAACGCAUUAAGCACUCCGCCUGGGGAGUACGGUCGCAAGAUUAAAACUCAAAGGAAUUGACGGGGACCUGCACAAGCGGUGGAGCAUGUUAUUUAAUUCGAUGCAACGCGAAAAACCUUACCACCCCUUGGCAUGGGAGCAAUACUCUCUUGAGAAAGAGAGGUCAGUUCGGCUGGGCUCUACACAGGUGUUGCAUGGCUGUCGUCAGCUCGUGCCG